RNAcentral lists this long non-coding RNA (2587 nucleotides) under Homo sapiens (human). Its description in RNAcentral is "HSALNT0092598". The record is from RNAcentral. Lineage: Eukaryota; Metazoa; Chordata; Mammalia; Primates; Hominidae.
UCAUGACUACUUUUAUGUUCUAGAGAUAUUUUUGUUUUAGCAAAAACAUCAAAACUCACUCCCAAAAGUACUUCCGCCGUUUUAAUAUCUUUAGACCUGUCCAUAGAUGAUACAUAUUUUAUGUAGACUAAUAAAAGUCAGAGUCAGCCUUGAGAAAAAGUAAGCAUUUUAAAUCAUGGUGAGGUUCAGGGAUGCUCAAUCUUCUUUGAUCCAAUACUUACAGAGUACUUCACAUAUGUUAGACACUGUGCUAGACACUGGGGAUGUUUAGAUUAAUAUUAAUAAGCCAUAGCCCCUGCCUUCAAUAAGUUUACAAUUUAGUCACAUUGGUUGGACAUAAAAUACAAAAGGUUAAGCACUACUAAGUUAGAUGAAUCUUAGCAAAGCCGUUCAACAGUGAGUGAGAGUCUACAAUUUUAUCAUUCUCGACAAGUGAGCAGCAGCAGCAACCCAGUGGACAAAUUUCAUACAGAGGAGAGACAAACAAACAAACACGAAAAGCGCCCCAGCAGCCUAGAAUCAGCCUUGAGGUUGUAUAAGCCUGUGAGUUAAAGGCACUGAAGGUCACUACACUUUUGAAAAGUAAAGUACAAGGGCAAGAAAGAGCAAUCCCUGUGUGAUGAAGCAGAGAAAUUACUUCUUCAGAGAGAAAACAGAAAUUCUUUAAAAUAAAAUAUCCUGUAGCAAAGGAAAAUCUACCUGGACAUAAUUAUAGCCACUGAACUACCAAAUGUGUAUAUUAAAUUCAGAUGGGAUGGGGUAGAUAAACAGAGGGUACACAAAAUAAAUUGUUGAAAACCUUUAUGAAAACUACAUAUGGUAGUUCAGAAGCUGGAUGAAAAACUCUGUUGCCAAAGAUAGAUUUCACAAAGAAUUUGACACCAAGCCGAGAAUUUAAGAGAUGCAGUUUCAACAAAAGAAGUUUAAAGUAAAACAAAAAUUUCUCCUGCAAUCAUUUUUAGUACAACGUUGAUGGAGAAUAAAGUCUUCCAGGAAGUCGUUACAUAGCACUGAAGACAUGUAAGUGUUUCAAAUCUCCAAAGCCAGAUGGUAUGCAUUGUAAGAUCCCAGAAGGACUCACAUGUGAAUGGCCAUCGGACUGGUCAGGACAUGAAAUACACUCUCACUGCCACAUUCUUAAGAUCCGGCUCCACUGGGAAUUUUUCCUCACAUAAAGGUUGGAGAAUUGGGUCCCAUCACCUUCGUUGGGAAGGAGCUGGGAAGCUUGCUAAGUAUGCCCAGCAUUUUGUAUCUUGCAAAAGGGGGCCCAGCUGAGGGCAUAACUGGGGGAUGAAAUCCAUGCCAAUCUUCUGGCCAAGCGAUGCAUCCUGUCGUGGGGUUUGCAAGUGCCUAGAGAAAGAGGUCUUUUUCCCUAUUCUGUGUGAAUAUGUCAUCCACUUGCAACCCUUGUGCGUGUGGGGCUGCAUCCACAAGUCUCCUGAUGUAACGGUGACUCUGAUUAAGAAGUCUUCCAUCUGCUCUUGAAUCCCAGGUGGAGGUGGAUCUGUUGAAGAAUGCUUAUCUGUUGAGACACAGCUCAGGUGCCAGACUUUCCUAAAGCCUAGCUAAGUUGCCGAGAAAUGUUAAGAUACGAGCUCUCGAGUCUGUUUGUUCUUCUUCCUAGCUAAAUAGUAUUUUUUGCUUCUCCAAAGGCAGUUUACUUUUUUUUUUUUUUUUUUUGCCUAAUGUUACCUAACUUUGGUGCUUUCCUUUUCUCCCUUAUCAGUCCCUUGCAGCCAGGGACUGGGUCCCACUCAUCUUUGAAUGCUAAACCUCAUCCAGCUGAGUCUUGCUAGUUAAUGUUUUAUCUAAUUCAGAGAUUGCAAACUGUGGCCUACAGACUGAUCUGGCUGGUCGCGUAUCAUUGUCCCAAAGACAGUUUAACAAAUUGUGAAUUGGGUUUUUUGUUUUGCAUACAUACUCAUGUUUACAAAUGAAGAGAUUCCACGUGAAAAAUCUGCAUUUCUACUUUCUUUGGAAAAAUUGGAAGUGCUGGCAAUACUAGGCUUGCUUUCUCUCAUGAUAGCAAUCAAUCAGAGGAGGGUAUCUGCUGCCUCUUUUUACCUGGUGUGUUCUUCGGGUCACAGAAUCAACAUCGUGCCCUAUUCCUUCUUGUGAUCAUCUACCUUGCUCCUCUAGGUAUUUGGCUUAAUUGAAUAGGAGUCCAUUAGCGUAUAUGAUCCAAUAAUUUCCCUAACAUUCAAUUACUAGAUCCCUUGCUGUAGCACAGAGUUUGUCAACAUUUUUUCUGUCUUAUCAUCCAUGGUAGAUGGCUUUCACAUAUGCAACCACUCCCAAGGGUUCUGUCAGGGUUAUUCUAGCUGUAACCAGACAGUGAGAUGGUUGCUAUAGCCAACAAAACUCUCUCUUAGAAAAAGGAAAGCAAAUACUUUGCAGGCUUCAGAGAAACUAUUACUGGUAACAAAUUUCUUGUGACAUCUCACAACUGAUCAUGACACAUAUGCGGAGUGAGUGCAGUUGAGAACGGUUCUUGUACCUGGAGAUUCUCAGGACUCUUGGGCAUGUUUCAAGAGAGGUGGGGGAAGCCGAGAGUUCAGCAGCAAUAGAGAGGCAGAAGCAGUAGGUC